UACGUAGGGGGCUAGCGUUGUCCGGAAUCAUUGGGCGUAAAGAGCGCGUAGGCGGCUAGAUAAGUCCGGUGUGAAAGUCACAGGCUCAACCUGUGAAUGCCGCUGGAAACUGUCUGGCUAGAGUCCGGAAGGGGCGAGUGGAAUUCCUGGUGUAGCGGUGAAAUGCGCAGAUAUCAGGAGGAACACCGGUGGCGAAGGCGGGUCUCUGGGCAGUAACUGACGCUGAGGAGCGAAGGCGUGGGGAGCGAACAGG
This 253-nucleotide ribosomal RNA is filed under the name uncultured bacterium. Its description in RNAcentral is "partial 16S ribosomal RNA". It matches the Rfam family "Bacterial small subunit ribosomal RNA", at positions 524 to 776 of the family's 1533-position model. The record is from RNAcentral.